CCUACGGGUGGCAGCAGUGAGGAAUAUUGGUCAAUGGGCGCGAGCCUGAACCAGCCAAGUAGCGUGAAGGAUGACUGCCCUACGGGUUGUAAACUUCUUUUAUCAAGGAAUAAAGUCAGGCACGUGUCCCUUUUUGUAUGUACUUUAUGAAUAAGCAUCGGCUAACUCCGUGCCAGCAGCCGCGGUAAUACGGAGGAUCCGAGCGUUAUCCGGAUUUAUUGGGUUUAAAGGGAGCGUAGAUGGGUUGUUAAGUCAGUUGUGAAAGUUUGCGGAUCAACCGUAAAAUUGCAAUUGAUACUGGCAGGCUUGAGUACAGGUGAGGUAGGCGGAAUUCGUGGUGUAGCGGUGAAAUGCUUAGAUAUCACGAAGAACCCCGAUUGCGAAGGCAGCUUACCAAACUGCCACUGACAUUGAUGCUCGAAAGUGUGGGUAUCAAACAGGAUUAGAUACCCCAGUAGUC
This 460-nucleotide ribosomal RNA is filed under the name uncultured bacterium. Its description in RNAcentral is "partial 16S ribosomal RNA". It matches the Rfam family "Bacterial small subunit ribosomal RNA", at positions 338 to 795 of the family's 1533-position model. The record is from RNAcentral.